CCUACGGGGGGCUGCAGUGGGGGAUAUUGCACAAUGGGGGAAACCCUGAUGCAGCGACGCCGCGUGGGCGAAGAAGUAUUUCGGUAUGUAAAGCCCUAUCAGCAGGGAAGAAGAAAUGACGGUACCUGAGUAAGAAGCACCGGCUAAAUACGUGCCAGCAGCCGCGGUAAUACGUAUGGUGCAAGCGUUAUCCGGAUUUACUGGGUGUAAAGGGAGCGCAGGCGGCACGGCAAGCCUGAUGUGAAAGCCCGCGGCCAAACCGCGGGACUGCAUUGGGAACUACCGGGCUGGAGUGCCGGAGAGGUAGGCGGAAUUCCUAGUGUAGCGGUGAAAUGCGUAGAGAUUAGGAGGAACACCAGUGGCGAAGGCGGCUUACUGGACUGUAACUGACGUUGAGGCUCGAAAGCGUGGGGAGCAAACAGGAUUAGAUACCCGGGUAGUC
This 442-nucleotide ribosomal RNA is filed under the name uncultured bacterium. RNAcentral's name for it is "partial 16S ribosomal RNA". It matches the Rfam family "Bacterial small subunit ribosomal RNA", at positions 338 to 795 of the family's 1533-position model. The record is from RNAcentral.